GGCCGAGUAGCAAAGCGGUUAUGCACGUGAUUGCAAAUCACUGUAGGUCGGUUCGACUCCGGCCUCGGCCUCCA
Molecule: transfer RNA, 74 nt
Filed under: Gammaproteobacteria bacterium
Lineage: Bacteria; Pseudomonadati; Pseudomonadota; Gammaproteobacteria
Description: tRNA-Cys
Rfam family: tRNA
About the family: Transfer RNA (tRNA) molecules are approximately 80 nucleotides in length. Their secondary structure includes four short double-helical elements and three loops (D, anti-codon, and T loops). Further hydrogen bonds mediate the characteristic L-shaped molecular structure. tRNAs have two regions of fundamental functional importance: the anti-codon, which is responsible for specific mRNA codon recognition, and the 3' end, to which the tRNAs corresponding amino acid is attached (by aminoacyl-tRNA synthetases). tRNAs cope with the degeneracy of the genetic code in two manners: having more than one tRNA (with a specific anti-codon) for a particular amino acid; and 'wobble' base-pairing, i.e. permitting non-standard base-pairing at the 3rd anti-codon position.
Source: RNAcentral